This 273-nucleotide ribosomal RNA is filed under the name uncultured prokaryote. RNAcentral describes it as "partial 16S ribosomal RNA". It matches the Rfam family "Bacterial small subunit ribosomal RNA", at positions 524 to 798 of the family's 1533-position model. The record is from RNAcentral.
UACGUAGGGGCGAGCGUUGUCCGGAUUUAUUGGGCGUAAAGGGUUCGCAGGUGGCCUUUUAAGUCAGAUGUGAAAGAUCACAGCUCAACUGUGGUAAGCAUUUUAAACUGAAAGGCUUGAGUUAAGGAGAGGAAAGUGGAAUUCCUAGUGUAGCGGUGAAAUGCGUAGAUAUUAGGAAGAACACCAGUGGCGAAGGCGAUUCUCUGGACUGUAACUGACGCUGAGGCUCGAAAGCGUGGGGAGCAAACAGGAUUAGAUACCCUGGUAGUCCCU